UGCCUUCUGGUUAUUGGAUCCAUACCAGUAGUAUGCAGUCACAAGAAAGGAACUAAAUAAAAGGUAGGACUUGCAAAAUAGAGUGAGCACACGUACCGGUUCAUCGAGAAUGACUAACUUCGGAUCCCCUAAAAGGGCAGCUGCAACACUGAGACGACGCUUCAUCCCUCCACUGUAACGACCAGCUCUAACUUGGUACUUUCUGAGAGCUUGACCUGAUCCAAUAACUGCGAGUUACCUGGAUUUGAGCAAAUAUUAUGAGUAGGAUAGGCACUGCUAGAAAAUACUGUUACGAGUUGGUCAACCAUGCAGCAGCUCUCUCACUUGGUGAACCUGUCAAAGUGCGAGCUUG
This 352-nucleotide long non-coding RNA is filed under the name Gossypium raimondii (Peruvian cotton). Its description in RNAcentral is "long non-coding RNA (GRAI_LNC005077)". The record is from RNAcentral. Lineage: Eukaryota; Viridiplantae; Streptophyta; Magnoliopsida; Malvales; Malvaceae.